UGAGUAACCUGCCCUUAACUCUGGGAUAAGCCUGGGAAACUGGGUCUAAUACCGGAUAUGACUCCUCAUCGCAUGGUGGGGGGUGGAAAGCUUUAUUGUUGGUUUUGGAUGGACUCGCGGCCUAUCAGCUUGUUGGUGAGGUAAUGGCUCACCAAGGCGACGACGGGUAGCCGGCCUGAGAGGGUGACCGGCCACACUGGGACUGAGACACGGCCCAGACCUCCGUACGGGAGGCAG
This 237-nucleotide ribosomal RNA is filed under the name uncultured bacterium. RNAcentral's name for it is "partial 16S ribosomal RNA". It matches the Rfam family "Bacterial small subunit ribosomal RNA", at positions 118 to 351 of the family's 1533-position model. The record is from RNAcentral.